AGCAGCCGCGGUAAUUCCAGCUCCAAUAGCGUAUAUUAAAGUUGUUGCAGUUAAAAAGCUCGUAGUUGAAUUUCGGGGUUAGUAGGUUGGUCAUGCCUCUGGUAUGUACUGGUCUCACUGAUUCCUCCUUCCUGAUGAGCCGUAAUGCCAUUAAUUUGGUGUUGCGGGGAAUUUGGACUGUUACUUUGAAAAAAUUAGAGUGUUUAAAGCAAGCUAACGCUUGAAUACAUUAGCAUGGAAUAAUGAAAUAGGACGUUCGAUCCUAUUUUGUUGGUUUCUAGGAUUGACGUAAUGAUUAAUAGGGAUAGUUGGGGGCAUUAGUAUUCAAUUGUCAGAGGUGAAAUUCUUGGAUUUAUUGAAGACUAACUACUGCGAAAGCAUUUGCCAAGGAUGUUUUCAUUAAUCAAGAACGAAAGUUAGGGGAUCGAAGACGAUCAGAUACCGUCGUAGUCUUAACCAUAAACUAUGCCGACUAGGGAUCGGAUGAUGUUAAUUUUUAAUGACUCAUUCGGCUACCG
RNAcentral lists this ribosomal RNA (518 nucleotides) under uncultured Glomus. RNAcentral's name for it is "SSU rRNA". It matches the Rfam family "Eukaryotic small subunit ribosomal RNA", at positions 569 to 1089 of the family's 1831-position model. Lineage: Eukaryota; Fungi; Glomeromycota; Glomeromycetes; Glomerales; Glomeraceae. The record is from RNAcentral.